GACGAACCGUCCAAACGUUAUUCGGAAUUAUUGGGCUUAAAGGAUGCGUAGGCUGUGCAGUAAGUUGGGUGUGAAAUCCCUCGGCUCAACCGAGGAACUGCGCCGAAUACUGCUGUGCUAGAGGAAGAUAGGGGUAAGCGGAACUGAUGGUGGAGCGGUGAAAUGCGUAGAUAUCGGAAGGAACACCGGUGGCGAAAGCGGCGCGCUGGAUCCCUUCUGACGCUGAGGCGCGAAAGCCAGGGGAGCGAACGGG
Molecule: ribosomal RNA, 253 nt
Filed under: uncultured bacterium
Lineage: Bacteria
Description: partial 16S ribosomal RNA
Rfam family: Bacterial small subunit ribosomal RNA
Source: RNAcentral